UCAAAGGAUAGUUUAAUUAAAAUAAUAAUUUUGGGGAUUAUUGAUAAAAUAAUAUUUUUUUCCUUUGA
Molecule: transfer RNA, 68 nt
Filed under: Archichauliodes diversus
Lineage: Eukaryota; Metazoa; Arthropoda; Insecta; Megaloptera; Corydalidae
Description: tRNA-Pro
Source: RNAcentral